RNAcentral lists this ribosomal RNA (550 nucleotides) under uncultured bacterium. RNAcentral describes it as "bacterial SSU rRNA". It matches the Rfam family "Bacterial small subunit ribosomal RNA", at positions 355 to 896 of the family's 1533-position model. The record is from RNAcentral.
UAGGGAAUCUUCGGCAAUGGACGGAAGUCUGACCGAGCAACGCCGCGUGAGUGAAGAAGGUUUUCGGAUCGUAAAGCUCUGUUGUAAGAGAAGAACGAGUGUGAGAGUGGAAAGUUCACACUGUGACGGUAUCUUACCAGAAAGGGACGGCUAACUACGUGCCAGCAGCCGCGGUAAUACGUAGGUCCCGAGCGUUGUCCGGAUUUAUUGGGCGUAAAGCGAGCGCAGGCGGUUAGAUAAGUCUGAAGUUAAAGGCUGUGGCUUAACCUUAGUAGGCUUUGGAAACUGUUUAACUUGAGUGCAAGAGGGGAGAGUGGAAUUCCAUGUGUAGCGGUGAAAUGCGUAGAUAUAUGGAGGAACACCGGUGGCGAAAGCGGCUCUCUGGCUUGUAACUGACGCUGAGGCUCGAAAGCGUGGGGAGCAAACAGGAUUAGAUACCCUGGUAGUCCACGCUGUAAACGAUGAGUGCUAGGUGUUAGACCCUUUCCGGGGUUUAGUGCCGUAGCUAACGCAUUAAGCACUCCGCCUGGGGAGUACGACCGCAAGGUUG